AUAUUAGAAAUGGACGAAAGUCUGAUCUAGCAACACCGCGUGUGCGAAGAAGGCCUUCGGGUCGUAAAGCACUUUUUGAAAGGAAUAGGAAGGAAUGUACUUCCAGAAUAAGUCUCGGCUAACUACGUGCCAGCAGCCGCUGUAACACGUAGGAGGCGAACGUUAUCCGGAUUUACUGGGCGUAAAGCGCGUGUAGGUGGUACUGUAAGUAGGGCGUGAAAGCUCCUGGCUCAACUGGGAGAGGCCGUUCUAAACUACAGAACUAGAGGAUGGUAGAGGGAGGUGGAAUUCCAGGUGUAGCGGUGGAAUGCGCAGAUAUCUGGAGGAACACCGGUGGCGAAGGCGGCCUCCUGGACCAUUCCUGACACUCAGACGCGAAAGCUAGGGUAGCAAACG
RNAcentral lists this ribosomal RNA (396 nucleotides) under uncultured bacterium. RNAcentral describes it as "bacterial SSU rRNA". It matches the Rfam family "Bacterial small subunit ribosomal RNA", at positions 359 to 774 of the family's 1533-position model. The record is from RNAcentral.